RNAcentral lists this ribosomal RNA (408 nucleotides) under Elysia australis. RNAcentral's name for it is "partial 16S ribosomal RNA". It matches the Rfam family "Archaeal large subunit ribosomal RNA", at positions 1934 to 2655 of the family's 2987-position model. Lineage: Eukaryota; Metazoa; Mollusca; Gastropoda; Plakobranchidae. The record is from RNAcentral.
GAAAUUUUUUCAGGUGAGACCUGCCCACUGCUCUAAGUAAACGGCCGCAGUACUCUGACUGUGCUAAGGUAGCAUAAUCAGUUGGCUUUUAAAUGGAGUCGGGAAUGAAUGGAUUAAUAGGGGUAAGCUGUCUCUUUUGUAUUUUAUUGAAUUUAAUUUAGUGGGUGAAAAUACCCACAAAUAGAAAAAAGACGAGAAGACCCUAGGAGUUUUUACUACAUUUUAAUCUUUUAACUAACGUUUUUGUUGGGGCAACAUAGGAACAAAUGAAAUUUCCUUUAUUUAACCUGCCGACUAUGUAUAACAGAGAAAACUACCCUAGGGAUAACAGCGUAAUUCUUAAAGAGUUUGCGACCUCGAUGUUGGACUAGGAAUUUGCUUGGUUAGCCGSCAAGUAAAGGUGUUCUG